CGCGCUUGAGUUUUCUUCCCGAUUUAGGGCUUCAGAAUCUCGGUCGCCUCUCUCUCUCUCUUUCUCUCACGCCUACUCCUCGUCUCGAGCUUCUUCAUCGCUGGCUGCGCCUGUUUCUGGAUCUCUCAGAUAAGAAGCUGCAGUCCAGACAAGCAUCGGAAGGAAGAGAAGUUGCGGGGGAAUGGAGAAAGGCCGCGCCGUCGGGAGCCCGGCGGGCGAUAGAGAAUGCCCGGCAGCGGCCGAAAAGAAUCCGAAGAAGCAGAAGCCCCCCUUCAGGCCCGCGCCGGACGACACCAAACCACUCUUCCGCGACCCCGUUCGUCUAUUCCUGUCUCGCUAUUCCUACCUACCCUUUUCCUUUUCUUUCUCUUCCUUAAUCUAAUUAUGGCUCCCUUUUUCUUUUUUCUUUCUUUAUUCUUUAGAUAUUGAGGUCGGACCCAAUCGAGACCGAGCAAGCAGUGCUC
This 464-nucleotide long non-coding RNA is filed under the name Ananas comosus (pineapple). RNAcentral describes it as "long non-coding RNA (ACOM_LNC023570)". Lineage: Eukaryota; Viridiplantae; Streptophyta; Magnoliopsida; Poales; Bromeliaceae. The record is from RNAcentral.